GAGUUUGUCAUGGCUCAGGAUGAACGCUGGCGGCGUGCUUAACACAUGCAAGUCGAACGAAGCGCCUUAUUUGAUUUUCUUCGGAACUGAAGAUUUGGUGACUGAGUGGCGGACGGGUGAGUAACGCGUGGGUAACCUGCCCUGUACAGGGGGAUAACAAUCAGAAAUGACUGCUAAUACCGCAUAAGACCACGGCACCGCAUGGUGCAGGGGUAAAAACUCCGGUGGUACAGGAUGGACCCGCGUCUGAUUUAGCUGGUUGGUUGAGGUAACGGCUCACCAAGGCGACGAUCAGUAGCCGGCUUGAGAGAGUGAACGGCCACAUUGGGACUGAGACACGGCCCAAACUCCUACGGGAGGCAGCAGUGGGGAAUAUUGCACAUGGGGAAACCCUGAUGCAGCAACG
RNAcentral lists this ribosomal RNA (406 nucleotides) under uncultured microorganism. RNAcentral's name for it is "bacterial SSU rRNA". It matches the Rfam family "Bacterial small subunit ribosomal RNA", at positions 9 to 396 of the family's 1533-position model. The record is from RNAcentral.